This 559-nucleotide long non-coding RNA is filed under the name Chrysolophus pictus (golden pheasant). RNAcentral's name for it is "lncRNA (ENSCPIG00010004094.1)". The record is from RNAcentral. Lineage: Eukaryota; Metazoa; Chordata; Aves; Galliformes; Phasianidae.
AGGAUAUAAUGACAUCAAACUAAUGUCACUGACUGCUUCUCUCAGGAAAACAGCCUACGGGCAAGGACCUGCAAAGCCAGGAACAGCAAGGAAAAAUAAAACUACCUUCACUCGAUGACUUCUCCUCCAGCUAAGGAGACUUCUGUCAUUUAUUCUGGAACAGAACAGUCUGUAUCUUCAUCUUCAUGUCACUGCGUAUGUCAGAACCAGAAAAGUAUCUCACGGGUAGGAAAAAUACAACAAGAAGAGUGAGCACAUUCUCCUUGCCUCAUUUCCACAAAUUACUCCUAGUUCCAUCUUCCUUUAUUAUGCUGAAUGAUUUCUCUUCACUCUUCAAAUAUCUGGAGACUUGGUCAUCUCAGUGAACACUUCAUCCCCUGGACAUGGUGCAGAAGAAAGCUGGGGUUGCACUUGCAACGUUGAAGAUUUUGCUGGAGUGAAGGAAGUGCUGGAGUGAAGGAGUGAAGAAGGAGCUGGAGUGGAUCAUUUUUGGCUGCUUUCCAUCAAAGUGCUGAUCAUGGGAAAUGCCCUGCAACCCCUGUACAUUCAACACUGCUAA